RNAcentral lists this ribosomal RNA (253 nucleotides) under Clostridioides sp. ES-W-0017-02. RNAcentral describes it as "partial 16S ribosomal RNA". It matches the Rfam family "Bacterial small subunit ribosomal RNA", at positions 41 to 303 of the family's 1533-position model. Lineage: Bacteria; Bacillati; Bacillota; Clostridia; Peptostreptococcales; Peptostreptococcaceae. RNAcentral also lists the same sequence under 1 other name. The record is from RNAcentral.
GGCGUGCCUAACACAUGCAAGUUGAGCGAUUUACUUCGGUAAAGAGCGGCGGACGGGUGAGUAACGCGUGGGUAACCUACCCUGUACACACGGAUAACAUACCGAAAGGUAUGCUAAUACGGGAUAAUAUAUUUGAGAGGCAUCUCUUGAAUAUCAAAGGUGAGCCAGUACAGGAUGGACCCGCGUCUGAUUAGCUAGUUGGUAAGGUAACGGCUUACCAAGGCGACGAUCAGUAGCCGACCUGAGAGGGUGA